GUUUUUAUAGUUGCAUACAACAUUGGUUUUUCAGGCCAAGAGUUUUGGUUAGAGCCCAGAUAAAAAUA
Molecule: transfer RNA, 68 nt
Filed under: Paradactylodon persicus (Persian mountain salamander)
Lineage: Eukaryota; Metazoa; Chordata; Amphibia; Caudata; Hynobiidae
Description: tRNA-Glu
Rfam family: tRNA
About the family: Transfer RNA (tRNA) molecules are approximately 80 nucleotides in length.
Source: RNAcentral